UUGGUCCCCAUGACCCUGGAGGCGCCGUGGAAGCGCUCCAGCAGCCGGGCUCCCACCUCCCGGAACGGGGGCAGCUUCUGCCAGCAGAAAGUCACGGAGGAACAGUGCAGAAUUAAUCUAUUCCCAUAAUAACUACAAUCACCCUAGCAUUUUAAGACUUGCAAAAUUCUUCUCUCAUAAUUCUGUGAGGGGUAUUAGCCAGUGUGAAUUCCCAGAUGAAGCAAGGAAGUUAUAUGUGGAAUACACUGAAAGGACCAUCGGAUGGAGAGCCUGGAGACCUCACUGCAUAGAAUGCUGGCUCUCUUAUUAAACUUUGUGACCUUGGGAAAAUGAUCUCAUUUUUGUGAACCCCUCCCCUUAUCUGAAAAAUUAGAUUAAUAAUGUGUACACUAUCUGUAUCAUAAAGCAGCUAUGAACAAAGAAUUUUAUAAAGAAAAAUAAGCUAUCACUGUAUCUUUCUUAGCUUUAUAUAAGUAUACAAUACUUACACAAAAAGCACUAAAGUGUUUCCUGGGGGCAUUGAGAGAGGUACUAUGAUUUGCCUAGGAUCACAUAAGCAAUAUUUAUCAAAGACAGGACUGCCAUACCUUCCUGACCCUAUGGCCAGUUUUCUGAUCACAAAUUCAUAAUUAUAGCCACAGUCAUAAUCUCCUCACCCCUCCCACUGUCUCUGUCUCUGUCUCUUUCUCCUUCUA
Long non-coding RNA from Sarcophilus harrisii (Tasmanian devil), 695 nucleotides. RefSeq lists it as uncharacterized. The record is from RefSeq and is a predicted model, not a curated record. The transcript is spliced from 3 exons. NCBI's taxonomy places the organism in Eukaryota, Metazoa, Chordata, Mammalia, Dasyuromorphia, Dasyuridae.